UCCUAAAGUGUGUUUACUGCCCUGAGGGGAUGGGACGGGGGGUGCGCGGGCCGAGGGGCUGGAUGAGGGAACCGACAGGCGCUGUCGAGCUAAAGGCGAACAACCGAUCCCGUUCCCGUGAACAAAUCCGCCCGCCUGCCGGCCCGAUUCCAUACAUUUUGUCCACAUCUUUCUUGAAGUGUCUCACCAAAACUGGACACAGUACUCCAGCUGAGGCCUCAUCAGUGAGGAGUAGAACUGAACAGUUAGCUCCCAUGUCUUUCAUAUGAUGCUCCUGUUAAUGCAUCCCAGAAACUAGAAGAUGGCAAAUUGAAAACUGAUAAAAGGAAGUAUUUUCAUACAAUGCAGUUUUGCCUUAAAGGAUGGACAACAACAGGAAGUGUGUGCUGAUUACAAAUAAA
This is a long non-coding RNA of Mauremys mutica (yellowpond turtle), 401 nucleotides long. RefSeq lists it as uncharacterized. The record is from RefSeq and is a predicted model, not a curated record. The transcript has 3 exons. NCBI's taxonomy places the organism in Eukaryota, Metazoa, Chordata, Testudines, Geoemydidae.